UACGUAGGGGGCAAGCGUUAUCCGGAUUUACUGGGUGUAAAGGGAGCGUAGGCGGCUUAGUAAGUCAGAAGUGAAAGCCCGCAGCUCAACUGCGGGACUGCUUUUGAAACUGCCAAGCUAGAGUGUCGGAGAGGUAAGUGGAAUUCCUAGUGUAGCGGUGAAAUGCGUAGAUAUUAGGAGGAACACCAGUGGCGAAGGCGACUUUCUGGACUGUACCUGACGCUGAGGCGCGAAAGCGUGGGUAGCGAACGGG
Molecule: ribosomal RNA, 253 nt
Filed under: uncultured Eubacteriales bacterium
Lineage: Bacteria; Bacillati; Bacillota; Clostridia; Eubacteriales
Description: uncultured Clostridiales bacterium partial 16S ribosomal RNA
Rfam family: Bacterial small subunit ribosomal RNA
Source: RNAcentral